Molecule: unclassified non-coding RNA, 344 nt
Filed under: soil metagenome
Description: partial contains 5.8S ribosomal RNA, internal transcribed spacer 2, and large subunit ribosomal RNA
Rfam family: 5.8S ribosomal RNA (bases 1-120)
Source: RNAcentral
GAUGAAGAACGUAGCGAAAUGCGAUAAGUAAUGUGAAUUGCAGAAUUCAGUGAAUCAUCGAAUCUUUGAACGCACAUUGCGCCCGCCGGUAUUCCGGCGGGCAUGCCUGUUCGAGCGUCAUUUCAACCAUCAAGCCCUGGGCUUGUGUUGGGGACCUGCGGCUGCCGCAGGCCCUGAAAUGCAGUGGCGGGCUCGCAAGACACACCGAGCGUAGUAGCUUACAACCUCGCUUUGGGAGUGCUGCGGGUGCUGGCCGUAAAGCGACCUUUGCGUCUUUAGCACUAGGUUGGCCUCGGAUCAGGUAGGAGGACCCGCUGAACUUAAGCAUAUCAAUAAGCGGAGGA